AAAUAUUCCUGUACCUCUUUUUACUGCGAUGGGGGGACGGAGAAGGCUAGAGCAGCACGGCGUUGGUUGUCCGUGUUUAAGGUCGUAGGCUGGUGUCUUAGGUAAAUCCGGGAUGCUAAGGCUGAGAACUGAUGACGAGUGUUCCUCGGAACAUGAAGUGCUUGAUGCCAUGCUUCCAAGAAAAGCCUCUAAGCUUCAGGUAAAAAGAGACCGUACUCCAAACCGAUACAGGUGAUCAGGUAGAGAAUACCAAGGCGCUUGAGAGAACUCGGGUGAAGGAACUAGGCAAAAUGGCACCGUAACUUCGGGAGAAGGUGCACCGCUUUUGGUGAUGGGAUUUACUCCCUAAGCUGAGGGCGGUCGAAGAUACCAGGCCCCUGCAACUGUUUAUUAAAAACACAGCACUCUGCAAACACGUAAGUGGACGUAUAGGGUGUGACGCCUGCCCGGUGCCGGAAGGUUAAUUGAUGGGGUUAGCGCAAGCGAAGCUCUUGAUCGAAGCCCCGGUAAACGGCGGCCGUAACAAUAACGGUCCUAAGGUAGCGAAAUUCCUUGUCGGGUAAGUUCCGACCUGCACGAAUGGCGUAAUGAUGGGGGCGCUGUCUCCACCCGAGACUCAGUGAAAUUGAAAUCGCGGUUAAGAUGCCGUGUACCCGCGGCUAGACGGAAAGACCCCGUGAACCUUUACUAUAGCUUUGCACUGAACUUUGAACCUAUCUGUGUAGGACAGGUGGGAGGCUUUGAAGUCGAGACGCUAGUUUCGAUGGAGCCGUCCUUGAAAUACCACCCUGGUAUGUUUGAGGUUCUAACGUCGGCCCCUUAUCGGGGUUACGGACAGUGUAUGGUGGGUAGUUUGACUGGGGCGGUCUCCUCCCAAAGAGUAACGGAGGAGCACGAAGGUGUGCUAAUCAUGGUCGGAAAUCAUGAGGUUAGUGUAAAGGCAAAAGCACGCUUGACUGCGAGACAGACAUGUCGAGCAGGUACGAAAGUAGGUCUUAGUGAUCCGGUGGUUCUGUAUGGAAGGGCCAUCGCUCAACGGAUAAAAGGUACUCCGGGGAUAACAGGCUGAUACCGCCCAAGAGUUCACAUCGACGGCGGUGUUUGGCACCUCGAUGUCGGCUCAUCACAUCCUGGGGCUGAAGCCGGUCCCAAGGGUAUGGCUGUUCGCCAUUUAAAGUGGUACGCGAGCUGGGUUUAGAACGUCGUGAGACAGUUCGGUCCCUAUCUGCCGUGGGCGUUGGAGAUUUGAGAAGAGUUGUUCCUAGUACGAGAGGACCGGAAUGAACGAACCUCUGGUGUUCGGGUUGUCAUGCCAAUGGCAUUGCCCGGUAGCUACGUUCGGACGGGAUAACCGCUGAAAGCAUCUAAGCGGGAAGCCUCCUUCAAGAUGAGAUCUCCCUGGGACUUUAAGUCCCCUAAAGAGCCGUUGAAGACUACGACGUUGAUAGGUUGGGUGUGGAAGCGCAGCGAUGCGUUGAGCUAACCAAUACUAAUUGCUCGUGCGGCUUGACCG
RNAcentral lists this ribosomal RNA (1513 nucleotides) under metagenome. RNAcentral's name for it is "bacterial LSU rRNA". It matches the Rfam family "Bacterial large subunit ribosomal RNA", at positions 1431 to 2925 of the family's 2925-position model. The record is from RNAcentral.